Molecule: long non-coding RNA, 545 nt
Organism: Nerophis ophidion (straightnose pipefish)
Lineage: Eukaryota; Metazoa; Chordata; Actinopteri; Syngnathiformes; Syngnathidae
Exons: 4
Source: RefSeq, a predicted model, not a curated record
GAGGACACAUUUCGCCACACCUAGUGUGUGUGUGACAAUCAUUGGUACUUUAACUUUAACUUUAACCAUUGUCAGGACCAAACCCAGGUGGUAACAUAAUUAAAAGUGACAUCAGCCUGCUCUCCGACCACAUGGAGCAAGCACAGGAGCUCAUGAGCAGAGUGGAGUCAGAGCGCACCAAGGUUGGCCUCCGGCUGAUUGCCAAGAAAAUGAGCUUGCGCUCUGGCUCCAGCCCCAACCCCGUCUCUCCUCCUGGCUGCUGCUAAUAACAGAGCGACAGGUUCCCGACCCCUGACCUAUAACAUCCACCACCCACAACAACAGGAGGCACUGCUCUGAAGGAAGUCAAUGACUUGAAGUACCAGGGCUCAUGGGUCAACUCAGCAGAGCAGGAUCUAAAAGUGAGGAAGGCACUUGCAUGGAGGGUUCUGAAUGGCGUGGUCACUCUGUGGAACAACAAUCUCCAGCAACACGUGACAAAUAAAACUCAGCUUCUUCUACAAGAUUGUGGAAUCUGUUCUCUUAUAUGGCAGUGACAAAUAAAA